ACAUCUGGGAAUAGAACAACAGGGAUUGCCUCAGUAACGGCGAGUGAAGCGGCAACAGCUCAAAUUUGAAAGCUGGCUCUUUCAGGGUCCGCGUUGUAAUUUGCAGAGGAUGCUUCGGGUGCGGUGCCGGUCUAAGUUCUUUGGAACAAGACGUCAUAGAGGGUGAGAAUCCCGUAUGUGACUGGUGGCCUGCGCCCGUGUGAAGCUCCUUCGACGAGUCGAGUUGUUUGGGAAUGCAGCUCUAAAUGGGUGGUGUACUUCAUCUAAAGCUAAAUAUUGGGUCUAGACCGAUAGCGCACAAGUAGAGUGAUCGAAAGAUGAAAAGCACUUUGGAAAGAGAGUUAAACAGUACGUGAAAUUGUUGAAAGGGAAGCGCUUGCAAUCAGACUUGCGCUGCGUCGAUCAGCCUGGGUUUUCCCUGGUGCACUCGGCGCAGCGCAGGCCAGCAUCAGUUCUGGCGGUUGGAUAAAGGCCUGGAGAACGUGGGUCGCCUUGGCGAUUGUUAUAGCUCUGGGUGCAAUGCAGCCUGCCGGGACUGAGGACCGCGCUUCGGCUAGGAUGCUGGCGUAAUGGUUGUAAGCGACCCGUCUUGAAACACGGACCAAGGAGUCUAACAUUUAUGCGAGUGUUUGGGUGUCAAACCCAUACGCGCAAUGAAAGUGAACGGAGGUGAGAACCCUUAAGGGCGCAUCAUCGACCGAUCCUGAUGUCUUCGGAUGGAUUUGAGUAAGAGCAUAACUGUUGGGACCCGAAAGAUGGUGAACUAUGCGUGGAUAGGGUGAAGCCAGAGGAAACUCUGGUGGAGGCUCGCAGCGGUUCUGACGUGCAAAUCGAUCGUCAAAUCUACGUAUAGGGGCGAAAGACUAAUCGAACCAUUGAAGCCGAACUAGGUGGUUGGGAGGCCUGUAAGGCCUAGUCCUCAUAGGGGGCGAUACUGCAAAAUUGCGGGGACAGCUCGAUAGACGCAGGCUACCACAGCGGGCUUGAAAAAGCCCGCCACGGUCACAAUGCCUGCGCCUGAGCCGAUCCGCAGCGGUUUCCUACGGCGCAUCAGCGCUAUGGAACGCGUACAUCGACUAGAUGGCAGUGGGUGUAUUUCAGGGCGCCUAAGGUAUAGUCAGGCUGCGGCAGCGAUGCUGCAGCUACGCGUCAGUCUGUU
Molecule: ribosomal RNA, 1159 nt
Filed under: Bifusella camelliae
Lineage: Eukaryota; Fungi; Ascomycota; Leotiomycetes; Rhytismatales; Rhytismataceae
Description: eukaryotic LSU rRNA
Rfam family: Eukaryotic large subunit ribosomal RNA
Source: RNAcentral